GCUACGAAUUAGCCUAAGUUAUUAAAGAUGGCGGCGGAGCGGAGUCGCUUCCCGAUGGACUCGCCGGUCCCUGCCUCUAUGUUCGCCCCCGAGCCCAGCUCUCCGGGGGCGGCCAGGGCCGCGGCGGCUGCCGCCCGGCUACACGGCGGCUUCGACUCGGACUGCAGCGAGGACGGCGAGGCGCUCAACGGCGAACCGGAGCUAGACCUCACCAGCAAGCUGGUUCUAGUGAGCCCUACAUCAGAGCAGUAUGACAGCCUACUUCGGCAAAUGUGGGAGAGGAUGGACGAGGGAUGCGGAGAGACCAUAUAUGUCAUUGGGCAGGGAUCAGAUGGGACUGAGUACGGGCUGAGUGAAGCUGACAUGGAGGCCUCCUAUGCCACAGUGAAGAGCAUGGCAGAACAGAUAGAGGCCGAUGUCAUCCUCCUCCGAGAACGUCAAGAAGCUGGGGGCCGUGUGCGCGAUUACCUGGUCCGGAAACGAGUAGGAGACAAUGACUUCCUGGAAGUCAGGGUAGCGGUAGUGGGCAACGUGGAUGCCGGCAAAAGCACGCUUCUGGGGGUCCUGACCCACGGGGAGCUGGACAAUGGCCGAGGCUUCGCCCGCCAGAAACUCUUCCGCCACAAACAUGAGAUUGAAUCUGGUCGCACCAGCAGUGUGGGCAAUGACAUUCUGGGCUUUGACAGUGAAGGCAAUGUGGUAAACAAGCCAGACAGCCAUGGUGGCAGCCUGGAGUGGACAAAGAUCUGUGAGAAAUCCACUAAGGUGAUUACUUUCAUCGACUUGGCCGGCCAUGAGAAGUACCUGAAGACCACUGUCUUUGGCAUGACUGGCCAUUUGCCUGACUUCUGCAUGCUCAUGGUGGGCAGCAAUGCUGGCAUCGUGGGGAUGACAAAGGAGCACCUGGGCUUGGCAUUGGCACUCAAUGUGCCUGUCUUUGUGGUGGUCACCAAGAUUGACAUGUGUCCUGCCAACAUCCUGCAAGAAACCCUGAAGCUGUUACAGCGCCUGCUGAAGUCACCCGGCUGCCGCAAGAUCCCUGUGUUGGUGCAGAGCAAGGAUGAUGUGAUUGUUACAGCCUCCAACUUCAGCUCUGAGAGGAUGUGCCCGAUAUUCCAAAUCUCCAACGUUACAGGCGAGAACCUAGAUCUGCUGAAGAUGUUCCUCAACCUGCUGUCCCCUCGUACCAGUUACCGGGAGGAAGAGCCUGCUGAGUUUCAGAUUGACGACACCUACUCUGUCCCGGGUGUGGGAACAGUGGUGUCGGGGACAACACUGAGGGGCCUGAUCAAGCUGAAUGACACGCUGCUGCUGGGCCCAGAUCCUUUGGGUAACUUCCUGUCCAUUGCGGUCAAAUCGAUCCAUCGCAAGCGCAUGCCUGUCAAGGAGGUGCGGGGGGGCCAGACGGCCUCCUUCGCGCUGAAGAAGAUCAAGCGCUCGUCCAUCCGGAAGGGCAUGGUGAUGGUUUCUCCACGCUUGAAUCCCCAAGCAUCCUGGGAGUUCGAGGCCGAGAUCCUUGUCCUUCACCACCCCACCACAAUCAGCCCGCGGUACCAGGCCAUGGUGCACUGUGGGAGCAUCAGGCAGACAGCCACCAUCCUGAGCAUGGACAAGGACUGUCUGCGCACCGGGGACAAGGCCACCGUGCAUUUCCGCUUUAUCAAGACCCCCGAGUACCUGCACAUAGACCAGCGGCUGGUGUUCCGGGAAGGCCGCACCAAGGCUGUAGGCACCAUCACUAAGCUCCUCCAGACCACCAACAAUUCCCCAAUGAACUCCAAGCCCCAGCAGAUUAAAAUGCAAUCGACGAAAAAGGGUCCCCUGCCCAAACGAGAAGAGGGAGGUCCCUCUGGAGGGCCAGCAGUAGGGGCACCCCCAACUGGAGAUGAAGCUUGCUCUCUAGCGGCUGCGCAGCCAGCUGCAUCCGGCAGUCUCCAGCCACAGCCCAAGCCCAGCAGCGGGGGCCGGCGACGGGGGGGCCAGCGUCACAAGGUGAAGUCCCAGGGGGCCUGCAUGACUCCCGCCAGCGGCUGCUGAAUCUCCCCCAGCCCACCUCCACCACCCAAGGGAUCCUCGUUCUCUGGCCACCACUCCACCAGAUGGGCCAGAGCAACUCUGACCACCGCUCGCCCUCCCCCAGGCCACACCCGGAGCCUUGUCAUUCCCCCCACCCCCAUUUUCCGGGGGGUUGUAAUUUAUAAGCUGAGGAAGGUGGCCAGACUUGUGGAGGACUGACCAUCUCCGACCCUCUUCCCCUCCUUCUUCCUCACUCACACCUUUUUUGUACAUCUGGGCCCUUAGUUUUUAUUCUUUUUAUUAUCUAUCUAUCUAUCUAGUGUGCGUGUGCGUGUGCGUGUGUGAGGGCGUGUGAGGUGCAGGAGUACGGCCGGUCAGGGCCUGGCAGUCUUCCCCUUUCUCCUCCGUGGCUGGCCACCAGCCUCCAGGAGCUAGCUGGCUGCCUGUCUGUCCGUGCGUUCGUGUGUCUCUGUGAGAACCUUUCAGGGCCGUCAGGAGCCGAAGCGCGCCCUCCUUCCCUGUGCUCACUCGCCAGUGCGCCUGGAGCCCCGCCACGGAGCCGCCUCCAGGCUGAGGGGCGUCCAGGGAAGUAUCUGCUGCUGCCAGAGCAGGGGGCCGUCCUCCUGUGACUUGGGCAUCUCAGCAGAGUGGAGAGCGGUGGUUCCCCUUUUCUCUUUCUCCCUCUUGUUUCCCUUAAACCCCCAAACAGGUAAUGCCAAAAGCUCUUAGGCUGUAACUGUAGACGUGUGGAGGGUGUUGGUGACUGAGUUGUAGGCCCCUCCUUGCCCCUCUGACCUUGCCACUGACCUGAAGACAGCUGUGACUCUUCUUUCCCCUUGGAGACAAUCCUUUGUUUGCCUGGCUGGCUGGGGUGACUCCUCUUCUGCAGAGUCUGCGGAGCUGGGGGCUUUCACCUCGCCCUGGGGCCGCCUCCUGCUUGGACUUUGACUCCGAUUCCUGUUGGGCCUCAGGGCACUGAUGAUCGGGCCUGGGGUCCGCCUGCUCAGGGUCACGGUCAACAGCACCUCCUGUUGGCGGGGGUGCCAGGUGUUCCUCUGAGCCAGGCCGGGACUGGAACCCCUCCUUCCCCGCCACAUCGCCCCAGCAUGGCUGCUACAGGAGCCCAGCAGUGAAGGGCCUGAGCCCCAGAUUUGGAAGCUCCAGCUGGGGUACAGGGAGAGCAGGUAGGAGGUAGUAAAAAAGAUUCUUCCAGACCCAGCUCAGAGCAUUAAGCCCUUUGGGAGAAUCAAUGCCAGGAGUGGGGAUGGUGUUGCCCAGGCCAGAGAUGGCAGCAUGGGCCCCGAACCAGCCUGCUCAGAGCUGUGGACUGAAGCCCUCUCUUUAGGGUGGACUGAUGGGCAGAGAUACAUUCUUUCUCUAGCCUGGGACACCCACCUGGCUGGGUCCUUCCUCAGCCUCGCCUCCCUUCCAUCCCCAACCCUUUGCCGCCACUCCUGCUUCCGGACUGCUGCUCCCCUCUCCUCCCCUCCUAACUGUUUCUAGUUACCACUGACCUGUGGCCAUGGACCGACCAAACCAGCACACAAAAUAAAAGUUUGUUCCAAGUUGACGGUGUCCUGUUCCCUGCCCAGCCCCUCCAGGUGGAGGUGCGGCCACGGGGAACUCCGUUGCUCUGCCUGCCCUAGAGCCCCCGGCUGCGGGCUGGGCCGGGAGGGGCCCAGCUUCUCCUGUCAGGCAGGCAUGGCUUCAAAACCCAGACUCCUUCGCCAGCUGUGACACAGGACACGUUGCCGUCCUCUGAACCUCAGUUUCCUCAUCCACAGCAAGAGCUGUGAUGGGGCCCCUCCCUGGGCCAGGUGCCAUGGUCAGGAUGAGAGGCGUGUGUUGAGAGUCCACCUGGGCAACCACCCCUGGCCCUCGGAGCUGCUCAUUGGAGGCACUGAAUCUGGGGAGAUAUGUGCAGGGAAGGGCCAGGACCUGCUCCCUGGAACUGGCAAGAUUCUGGCUGGCUCUUCAGGGGACCCACCUCGUGCCAUCCCAACACAGGUACAAGGGACAAGGGUUUAGCUCCCACGGAGCGGGCUGCAGCACUGACGGCGGACGAGCUUGGCAGUGAAGGGGGUAACUUCUACCCUCUGCUCCAGUGGCGCUGAGAGACGCAGGACAGGCCUCCUGCUUCCCAGUGGGACUGGGACGUCAGUGAUGGCUAAUAAAGCCACUCACUUUCUCCCGCCAGCCCUUGAGCCCAGAGUCACAGGCACCGGGCCUGCCUCAGGUCCCACCUCCCAUCACAGCUGAGUUUUAGCCAAGAAGCCUGCGUUUCUAAAGCUUAGGAGGAAGCCUUUGGGGCACUGUUUUGGCUAAGAAUUCAUUCUCUUUUUCCCAAGAGCAGGGUCCCGUGCAGUGGCCAGAUAAAAACCACACACUCCACUAAUCCUGGGCAUAAUUUAUUUUUUGCAUAGGCAUAAAUUAGAAUCUGGAGAUACAAAAUUAAGAACCAAUAGUGCAGCAUUUGUGACAGGAGAGCGCAAAACAAAACCUGGUUGUCUGGAGGCAGGGCCAGUGCCAGAGGACCGAUCACAGGAUGGCUGGGGCCUCGCCUUCGUUCCAGCUCCGUCCUCCAUUCAGGUCGCCCACCUGCACAGCAGCCUUUCCUGCCCCCUCCCCACAGGCCGGAACGAACCACAGAGUUGGAACCAGUGCCCCAAGGCCCUCUUGGCAGCCAGGUUACAAGGACCUGAACUCACCCGAGGCCCCACAGAACGGGGCUAGGAAUCAAGCUCUUAGCUUUUCAGUUAAAAAACAGACCUUGAAAAAUACAUAAUAGAGCAGGGCCUGCUGGGUCCAAAAGCUCCCACCUCAGCCCCCCCUCCUAACCCAGCCCCCCACCCUUGUCUGUCCCCCAUAGAAAAUGAGUCAGAAUAGAAUAGAAACAGAAUUGAGCAAGAGCUGAGAGAGCCCCCAGGGGCGGCUUAGGGUUAGGGGGCCUCUUACAUCAGCGGCCUGAUAGGGGUGGGGCAGGGCCAACAGUGCAGACCUCCUCCCACCGUGGCACCCUGAGUGUCACUGUCAGUCAUUGUAUCGCUGGGCCACCACAAGAGUCCAGGGAGUCCCCUGAACACUUCUAGCUGACCCCAGAUGUUUAUGGCCUCGAAGGACAGGUCUGGGCACCCUGGGGAAUGCAGCAAGCUUGUGCUGGGGCACAGGUGGGCCCUAGCAAGGAGUGGGGAGCAGAGUGGGCCCCAAUCCCAGCAUCAGGAGAAAGCAACUACUGUCCCCAGCAGAGGGGACUCCUACAGGGCCACAGAAGCAGUAACCCUCAGGCUCUCAGGAGCCAGACCCUCCAGGGUAGAAGAAGCCCCACGGCCCACCCUGACCCACCCUGAUCCAGGACAAAUACAGCGUAUAGAAGCCCUUCAGGAAUGCUGUGGGCCUAGGCUGAUGGCACUAGCUUUCUGGAGGAGCCCAGCUGCCUUCUCCCAGGAGCUUCCUGCCUGGGGACCAGUCCCAGCCUGCACCCUCCUCCCAGAGGACCUUACUUCUCUGCCUAGGGAGGGGGCACAGCUCAGCUGCCCCAGGCCCUAACCUGUUUCACCCACGGCUUUGGCACCUGCUUCAUUUAUGCAGCUCCCUGGGUGCCAGCCCCCGCACAUGGGCAAGGGGCAGGCAGGUCUCGUCCACCUUUGCCGGAACAUGGGCACUCAUCCCGUCUCUCCCUGCCUCGACUUCCCACAACAUGCUACAUAUAUACACCCUCGCAGGAGGGAGAAGAAGACACCCAGUGCCCAGCGCCCAGAGAACAAAGAAGGAAAAGAGACGCCGGAGCCUGCUGACCGCUAGAGCCACCCGGUGCUCAGGAAGAGCCUGCGCAUUCCUUCUAAUCUCCGCUGGGCCAGGGGCUCUUCUUGCCUGCUCCCGGAAGUCAGUGCGCUUCAAGCGUGUGGGGGCAGAGGCGGGGGUGCUGUGCAGCCACCCCCAGAGCAGGGGGCACGUGCCGAGAGGAGCUGGCCUCCCCGCUGGCAGCGGCAGCGGCACAGAGAAGGCCUAGUGGGUGGGUUCCCCAUGCACCCUGAAGCGGUAGAUGCAGGUGUACUCCGGGUGGCCCCAGUUAGUCAAGAUCCGCAGCUCCACCACCUGGUACGUGGCCAUUUUAGGGCCCUG
Mesoplodon densirostris (Blainville's beaked whale) is the source of this 6138-nucleotide RNA transcript. It is a transcript of the gene named GTP binding protein 1, with no coding region annotated. The record is from RefSeq and is a predicted model, not a curated record. The transcript is spliced from 13 exons. NCBI's taxonomy places the organism in Eukaryota, Metazoa, Chordata, Mammalia, Artiodactyla, Ziphiidae.